CCCGCUGAACUUAAGCAUAUCAAUAAGCGCAGGAAAAGAAACCAACAGGGAUUCCCCUAGUAAUGGCGAAUGAAGCGGGAAAAGCUCAAAUUUGAAAUCUGGCUGUUCUGCAGUCCGAAUUGUAAUUUCGAGAGACAGCUUUGGCUUCCCACGCUGCCCAAGUUCCUUGGAGCAGGACGUCACAGAGGGUGAGAAUCCCGUGUGUGGCAGCGGAAAGGGGGCUGUGUAUAGCGUCUUCAAAGAGUCGAGUUGUUUGGGAAUGCAGCUCAAAAUGGGUGGUAAAUUUCAUCUAAAGCUAAAUAUUGGCGAGAGACCGAUAGCGAACAAGUAGAGUGAUCGAAAGAUGAAAAGAACUUUGAAAAGAGAGUUAAACAGUACGUGAAAUUGUUGAAAGGGAAGCGCUUGGCGUUAGACAGAGCGGUGUGGAUUUAUUUGCGCUGCUGGGCCAACAUCAGUUUCUGGCGCGUGGACAAAGAUCUCUGGAAUGUGACUGUUUCGGCAGUGUUAUAGCCAGAGGUGGCAUGUGCGCAGCUGAGACUGAGGACCGCGGCCCGCAAGGGUCUAGGAUGUUGGCAUAAUGGCGCUCAGCGACCCGUCUUGAAACACGG
Molecule: ribosomal RNA, 608 nt
Filed under: uncultured fungus
Lineage: Eukaryota; Fungi
Description: eukaryotic LSU rRNA
Rfam family: Eukaryotic large subunit ribosomal RNA
Source: RNAcentral